CUUCAGAGGAGUUAGCCACAUUCCAAUGUGUGCGGAUCAGCAAAAAAUGCGGAAUAACCCUUUAACCGUACAUUUGACAGAUACGCGUGCAUUGACUUUUUCGUAGAUCUUAUUGAGAUACAUGUGUGUGUCAAUUUUUGUGUCAUUUUGACAAAGCGUACAGGCGUGACACUCAACAGUGCGUAUUUUCACCUUAGGGGACAAGAAAAAAUGGACUUUUUUCUCCUGCCAUGGGGGGGCGCUCUUUUGGGGAGUAAAAAUUCCUUCACAAAUGUGUUGAUGGCUGGACAUUGCAUCAUCCUAGAAAACUUGGAGGCCAGUGAGGGCAAAAAUAAAAAGUUAUAAGACUUUGAAAUAUGUGGAUUUUAGGGUUAUCUUUGGCGCCCCCUAGAACCUAAACCGUGGGGUGCAGCGUCAUGAUUUGAAUAACUUUUAAUGGCCAUGGGGUGUAGAUUGGCCUGAGCAAAUGUGGUGCCGGUGGAACGAAAGCCUUCGGAGGAGUUAGCGAAAUUCCAAUGUGUGCGGAUCGGCAAAAAAUGCGCAAUAACCCUUUAACCGUACAUUUGACAGAUACGCCCGCACUGACUUUUUUGUAGAUCUUAUUGAGAUACAUGUGUGUGUCAAUUUUUGUGUCAUUUUGCCAAAGCGUACAGGCGUGACACUCAACAAUGUGUAUUUUCACCUUAGGGGACAAGAAAAAAUGGACUUUUUUCUCCUGCCAUGGGGGGGGGGGGCGCUCUUUUGGCGAGUAAAAAUUCCUUCACAAAUGUGUUGAUGGCUGGACAUUGCAUCAUCCUAGAAAACUUGGAGGCCAGUGAGGGCAAAAAUAAAAAGUUAUAAGACUUUUAAAUAUGUGGAUCUUAGGGUUAUCUUUGGCGCCCCCUAGAACCUAAACCGUGGGGUGCAGCGUCAUGAUUUGAAUAACUUUAAAUGGCCAUGGGGUGUAGAUUGGCCUGAGCAAAUGUGGUGCCGGUGGAACGAAAGCCUUCGGAGGAGUUAGCGAAAUUCCGAUGUGUGCGGAUCGGCAAAAAAUGCGAAAUAACCCUUUAACCGUACAUUUGACAGAUACGCGCGCAUUGACUUUUUUGUAGAUCUUAUUGAGAUACAUGUGUGUGUCAAUUUUUGUGUCAUUUUGACAAAGCGUACAGGCGUGACAGUCAAUAGUGUGAAUUUUCACCUUAGGGGGCGCUAUGGAGCCAUUUUGCAUUUUCUUGUUUGGGCGACUUCGGAAUAUCAAAUUUUUCACCAGGCCCGGUAGUCCUGCCAAAUUUCAUGAGUUUUCGCCAGUGGGAAGUGGGCCAUUUUCCAGUUCAAAGGGGAGGAAAAAUAAUAAUAAUAACUAGGGCCCCGGUGGGGCACUGUCGGGCCCGAGCCGCGUCGAGCCGCCCCCAGCGCGACCGCCUCCCCCUCCCGAUCGCGUCACACUCAAGGUCCAAAGAUGGUGUGCGCACUUGUCUGUGGUCAUUUCCCAUUAUAAUGAAUGGGAGGCGCAGUUUCUACCAAAACACUCGCUGCAGACAAACUACAUGUCCUAUUUGAAAAAAGUCUGGACCAUGAGUGAGGGCACAAACACAGCUAGGAUAUAUCCAAACGGCAAGUUGCUCCUCAUUACGGUGUUGCCGGGAGAGCGAUGCGAUUGAGCCAUUGAGUGAUGGGCAGGAAAAACUUGGGGGAUGGGGGGGGGGAUGUAGAUUCUUUUAAGAAUGUGGAUAUUUGGACAUUGCAUCAUCCUAGAAAACUUGGAGGCCAGUGAGGACGAAAAUAAAAAGUUAUAAGACUUUUAAAUAUGUGGAUAUUUGUGUCAUCUUUGGCGCCCCCUAGAACGUAAACUGUGGGGUGCAGCGUCAUGAUUUGAAUAACUUUCAAUGGCCAUGGGGUGUAGAUUGGCCUGAGCAAAUUUGGUGCCGAUGGAACGAAAGCCUUCAGAGGAGUUAGCCACAUUCCAAUGUGUGCGGAUCAGCAAAAAAUGCGGAAUAACCCUUUAACCGUACAUUUGACAGAUACGCGUGCAUUGACUUUUUCGUAGAUCUUAUUGAGAUACAUGUGUGUGUCAAUUUUUGUGUCAUUUUGACAAAGCGUACAGGCGUGACACUCAACAGUGCGUAUUUUCACCUUAGGGGACAAGAAAAAAUGGACUUUUUUCUCCUGCCAUGGGGGGCGCUCUUUUGGGGAGUAAAAAUUCCUUCACAAAUGUGUUGAUGGCUGGACAUUGCAUCGUCCAAGAAAACUUGGAGGCCAGUGAGGACAAAAAUAAAAAGUUAUAAGACUUUUAAGAAUGUGGAUAUUUGGGUCAUCUUUGGCGCCCCCUAGAACGUAAACCGUGGGGUGCAGCAUCAUGAUUUGUACAACUUUUAAUGGCCAUGGGGUGUAGAUUGGCCUGAGCAAAUUUGGUGUCGGUGGAAUGAAAGCCUUCGGAGGAGUUAGUGAAAUUCCAAUGUGUGCGGAUCGGCAAAAAAUGCAAAAUAGCCCUUUUACCGUACAUUAUACAGAUACGCGCUCUUUGACUUUUUCGUAGAUCUUAUUGAGAUACACGUGAUUGUCAAAUUUUGUGUCAAUAUGACAAAGCGUUUAGGCGUGACACUCAACAAUGUGUAUUUUCACCUUAGGGGACAAGAAAAAAUGGACUUUUUUCUACUGCCAUGGGGGGGCGCUCUUUUGGGGAGUAAAAAUUCCUUCACAAAUGUGUUGAUGGCUGGACAUUGCAUCAUCCUAGAAAACUUGGAGGCCAGUGAGGACAAAAAUAAAAAGUUAUAAGACUUUUAAGAAUGUGGCUUUUUGGGUUAUCUUUGGCGCCCCCUAGAACCUAAACCGUGGGGUGCAGCGUCAUGAUUUGUACAACUUUUAAUGGCCAUGGGGUGUAGAUUGGCCUGAGCAAAUUUGGUGCCGGUGGAAGGAAAGCCUUCGGAGGAGUUAGCGAAAUUCCAAUGUGUGCGGAUCGGCAAAAAAUGCGAAAUAGCCCUUUAACGGUACAUUUGACAGAUACGCCCGCACUGACUUUUUUGUAGAUCUUAUUGAGAUACACAUGUGUGUCAAUUUUUGUGUCAUUUUGACAAAGCGUACAGGCGUCAGGUGAGUUUUCACCAUAGGGGGCGCUAUGGAGCCAUUUUUCAUUUUUUUGUUUGGGCGACUUCAGAAUAUCGAAUUUUUCACCAGGCCCGGUCGUCCUGCCAAAUUUCCUGAGUUUUCGCCAGUGGGAAGUGGGCCAUUUUCCAGUUUAAAGCGGAGGAAAAAUAACGAAAGAAGAAUCCAUCAGGAACAAGAGGGCUCUCGCAGCUGCUUAGCAGCUACGCUCGGGCCCUAAUAACAAAAGAAGGAAACAUGCAGGAACAAGAGGGCUCUCGCAGCUGCUUAGCAGCUACGCUCGGGCCCUAACUAGGGCCCCGUUGGGGCACUGGCGGGCCCGAGCCAUGUUGCGCCACCCCCAGCGGGACCGCCUCCCCCUCCCGAUCCCGUCACACUCAAGGUCCAAAGAUGGUGUGCGCACUUGUCUGUGGUCAUUUACCAUUAUAAUGGAUGGGAGGCGCAGUUUCUACCAAAACGCUCGCUGCAGACAAACUCCUGGCCCUUUUUGAAAAAAGUCUGGACCAUGAGUGAGGGCACAAACACAGCUAGUAUAUAUCCAAAUGGCAAGUUGCUCCUCCUUUCGGUUUUGCCGAGAGAGCGAUGCGUUUGAGCCAUUGAGUGAUGGGCAGGAAAAACUUGACUUUUUCUACUGCCAUAGGGGGGCGCUCUUUUGGGGAGUAAAAAUUCCUUCACAAAUGUGUUGAUGGCUGAACAUUGCAUCAUCCUAGAAAACUUGGAGGCCAGUGAGGACAAAAAUAAAAAGUUACAAGACUUUUAAGAAUGUGGAUAUUUGGGUCCUCUCUGGCGCCCCCUUGAACCUAAACCGUGGGGUGCAGCGUCAUGAUUUGUACAACUUUGAAAGGCCAUGGGGUGUAGAUUGGCCUGAGCAAAUUUGGUGUUGGUGGGACGAAAGCUUUAGGAGGAGUUAGCCACAUUCCAAUGUGUGGAAUGUGGAUUUUUGGGUCAUCUUUGGCGCCCCCUAGAACGUAAACCGUGGGGUGCAGCGUCAUGAUUUUUACAACUUUGAAUGGCCAUCGCGUGUAGAUUGGCCUGAGCAAAUUUGGUGUCAGUGGGACGAAGACCUUAGGAGGAGUUAGCCACAUUCCAAUGUGUGCGAAUCGGCAAAAAAUGCUAAAUAGCCCUUUAACCGUACAUUUUACAGAUAUGCGCGAAUUUACUUUUUCGUAGAUCUUAUUCAGAUACACGUGAUUGUCAAAUUUUGUGUCAAUAUGACAAAGCGUACAGGCGUGACACUCAACAAUGUGAAUUUUCACCUUAGGGGACAAGAAAAAAUGGACUUUUUUCUCCUGCCAUGGGGGGGCGCUCUUUUGGGGAGUAAAAAUUCCUUCACAAAUGUGUUGAUGGCUGGACAUUGCAUAAUCCUAGAAAACUUGGAGGCCAGUGAGGAAAAAAAUAAAAAGUUAUAAGACUUUCAAGGCUGUGGAUUUUUGGGUUAUAUUUUGCGCCAUCUAGAACCUUAACCGUGGGGUGCAGCGUCAUGAUUUGUACAACUUUUAAUGGCCAUGGAGUGUAGAUUGGCCUGAGCAAAUGUGGUGCCGGUGGAACGAAAGCCUUCGGAGGAGUUAGCGAAAUUCCAAUGUGUGCGGAUCGGCAAAAAAUGUGAAAUAACCCUUUAACCGUAAAUUUGACAGAUAUUCCCGCACUGACUUUUUUGUAGAUCUUAUUGAGAUACAUGUGUGUGUCAAUUUUUGUGUCAAUAUGACAAAGCGUACAGGCGUGACAGUCAAUAGUGUGAAUUUUCACCUUAGGGGGCGCUAUGGAGCCAUUUUGCAUUUUAUUAUUUGGGCGACUUCAAAAUAUCGAAUUUUUCACCAGGCCUGGUCGUCCUGCCAAAUUUCAUGAGUUUUCGCCAGUGGGAAGUGGGCCAUUUUCCCCUUCAAAGAGGAGGAAAAAUAAGAACUAGGGCCCCGGUGGGGCACUGUCGGGCCCGAGCCGCGUCGCGCCGCCCCCAGCGCGACCGCCUCCCCCUCCCGAUCGCGUCACACUCAAGGUCCAAAGAUGGUGUGCGCACUUGUCUGUGGUCAUUUCCCAUUAUAAUGAAUGGGAGGCGCAGUUUCUACCAAAACACUCGCUGCAGACAAACUUCAUGUCCUAUUUGAAAAAAGUCUGGACCAUGAGUGAGGGCACAAACACAGCUAUGAUAUAUCGAAAUGGCAGGUUGCUCCUCCUUACGGUGUUGCCUGGAGAGCGAUGCGAUUGAGCCAUUGAGCGAUGGGCAGGGUUAACUUGAGUUUUUCUCCUGCCUUGGGGGGGGGGGGGGAUGUGGAUUCUUUUAAGAAUGUGGAUUUUUGGGUCAUCUUUGGCGCCCCCUAGAACGUAAACCGUGGGGUGCAGCGUCAUGAUUUUUACAACUUUGAAUGGCCAUGGGGUGUAGAUUGGCCUGAGCAAAUUUGGUGUCAGUGGGACGAAAGCCUUAGGAGGAGUUAGCCACAUUCCAAUGUGUGCGAAUCGGCAAAAAAUGCGGAAUAACCCUUUAACCGUACAUUUGACAGAUACGCGCGCAUUGACUUUUUUGUAGAUAUUAUUGAGAUACAUAUGUGUGUCAAUUUUUGUGUCAAUAUGAUAAAGCGUACAGGCGUGACAGUCAAUAGUGUGAAUUUCCACCUUAGGGGACAAGAAAAAAUUGACUUUUUUCUCCUGCCAUGGGGGGGGGCGCUCUUUUGGGGAGUAAAAAUUCCUUCACAAAUGUGUUGAUGGCUGGACAUUGCAUCAUCCUAGAAAACUUGGAGGCCAGUGAGGACAAAAAUAAAAAGUUAUAAGACUUUUAAAUAUGUGGAUUUUAGGGUUAUCUUUGGCGCCCCCUAGAACCUAAACCGUGGGGUGCAGCGUCAUGAUUUGAAUAACUUUUAAUGGCCAUGGGGUGUAGAUUGGCCUGAGCAAAUGUGGUGCCGGUGGAACGAAAGCCUUCGGAGGAGUUAGCGAAAUUCCAAUGUGUGCGGAUCGGCAAAAAAUGCGGAAUAACCCUUUCACCGUACAUUUGACAGAUACGCGCGCAUUGACUUUUUCGUAGAUCUUAUUGAGAUACAUGUGUGUGUCAAUUUUUGUGUCAUUUUGCCAAAGCGUACAGGUGUUAAACCCAACAAUGUGUAUUUUCACCUUAGGGGACAAGAAAAAAUGGACUUUUUUCUCCUGCCAUAGGGGGGCGCUAUUUUGGGGAGUAAAAAUUCCUUCACAAAUGUGUUGAUGGCUGGACAUUGCAUCAUCCUAGAAAACUUGGAGGCCAGUGAGGGCAAAAAUAAAAAGUUAUAAGACUUUUAAAUAUGUGGAUCUUAGGGUUAUCUUUGGCGCCCCCUAGAACCUAAACCGUGGGGUGCAGCAUCAUGAUUUGAAUAACUUUUAAUGGCCAUGGGGUGUAGAUUGGCCCGAGCAAAUGUGGUGCCGGUGGAACGAAAGCCUUCGGAGGAGUUAGCGAAAUUCCAAUGUGUGCGGAUCGGCAAAAAAUGCGAAAUAACCCUUUAACCGUACAUUUGACAGAUACGCCCGCACUGACUUUUUUGUAGAUCUUAUUGAGAUACAUGUGUGUGUCAAUUUUUGUGUCAUUUUGACAAAGCGUACAGGCGUGACAGUCAAUAGUGUGAAUUUUCACCUUAGGGGGCGCUAUGGAGCCAUUUUGCAUUUUCUUGUUUGGGCGACUUCGGAAUAUCAAAUUUUUCACCAGGCCCGGUCGUCCUGCCAAAUUUCAUGAGUUUUCGCCAGUGGGAAGUGGGCCAUUUUCCAGUUCAAAGGGGAGGAAAAAGAAGAAAGAAAGAAAGAAAGAAACAAAGAAAAACCCCUUGGGGAAUAAUAGGGCUCUCGCAGCUGCUUAGCAGCUACGCUCGGGC
Molecule: long non-coding RNA, 6905 nt
Filed under: Xyrichtys novacula (pearly razorfish)
Lineage: Eukaryota; Metazoa; Chordata; Actinopteri; Labriformes; Labridae
Source: RNAcentral